Molecule: long non-coding RNA, 1521 nt
Organism: Puntigrus tetrazona (Sumatra barb)
Lineage: Eukaryota; Metazoa; Chordata; Actinopteri; Cypriniformes; Cyprinidae
Exons: 3
Source: RefSeq, a predicted model, not a curated record
AGAAGGACCGCACUGCCCACACUCCAAGUCCUCUUGCCCCGAAAACCGCAUCUGACCACCAGGACCUCAGGGAAACCACGGCCUGAUGGAGGAAUAAAGAAAGCGAGAGAGGCAGAGAGAGGUGGAGAUGCUUUGGCCCCACAGCAGCUGAUGGUGACUCAGAAAGAGAGUCAAUUAUAGGGCUAUAAAGGUCUCUUUAGCCCAGAGACGGGCCGCCUGUGUCGGGGGAAGCUGAAAGCUAACGUGAUUACCGGAGUGGAACAACUAGCAGCACACAGGAGACACACAGAAAAACUGUAUACAUGCCUCUGGAGGUUAGCAUCGACGGAUCCGUGUCCUGACUACAUCCUUUUUGGGGUAAUAUAAAGCCUGGAGAGAUCAUGAAGUUUAUUUAAAAUAGUAAUUAGGUAGGCUAUCCAUACAAACUUUCUCAAAACAUGUAACCAGAUAAGCUAUGCUACAGAAAACGGUAUUCAAAAAAGCACCAAAAAGCAGACCAUUCAUGCACUAUAUUUUAUGAUUUAUAUUUAAGGCAGCAGUUCUCGUCGAAGCUUGCAUUGAAUCUGUUUUCACCGCAAACGAAGAUUUUCUUACUUGAUAUGUUGUUUUUCAUUGCAAGUCUACAAAUUCUUAAAUCAGGAUUCAUUUACUUUGACGUGGCAUGUUUUUAGUUUUCAGUGAACUAUCCCUUUAAAACGAGAUGCAUUUGCUUGUGAACCAAAACGGCCUCAGAUAUUAAGUCACGUUUCCCGAACAACGUAUUGAAAUUAAACGGGUUUAUGCUUGAAACAGGGAAAAAGAAUAUGUAUCAAUGGCGUAAGAAAGAUGUUGUUUUCAUUCUGAAUUUAAUAUAUUUUAAUUACCACACUGACAGACAUCUUUUCUUGUUUUGAACACUUUUGGCUUAACAUUUCAAGUCAGUUUAUCUAGCAAACUUGUUUUGAUUUAAAGGGAUAGUUCACUCAACACAAAAAGAUCUUUUGCGUUCAACAGAAGAAAGCCACUCUUAACUUUUGAACAACUUGAUGGUUGAGUUUUAAUUUUUGGGUGAGCUAUCUCUUUAAGAAUUUUUAGAUAUACAUGCAAUAAAUGCAGAACUAGGUUUGGUAUUAAAACAAUUUCUUUAAUAUGGUUACUGAUACAUCCUUACGCUUCAGCAGCCUAUGCAGUGCGGUACAGCGAGCAUACACAAGCAGCGCUUUCCUUCAAUGACCCCUUCAGAUUUUCACUAAAUGCGUUUUAUUUCACCCAGCGGUGAAAUCACACAUAUCUGAGGAGAACCACUGACUAAAAAUAUCUCCCCUCCACAAAUGGAACACCAUUCACACACACUUCUGAACAGCCCAUACUGUACACGUGUGAGUGAACACACACUCACACAGCUCCGCCCCGGGUUCAGUUUGCCCUCAGUUCUCCUGAUCUCCGGCCAAUGUCCUGCCAGCAUUCUGGGUGGUCCCAUUCCUGUGGUUCUGGCAACCCAUCUGUCCACCGAGCCAAAAUAUUACAAACACACCCAUUUAC